This 240-nucleotide unclassified non-coding RNA is filed under the name soil metagenome. Its description in RNAcentral is "partial contains 5.8S ribosomal RNA, internal transcribed spacer 2, and large subunit ribosomal RNA". The record is from RNAcentral.
AACCUAGCACACCUGCGGUGUGUACCUGCGGAAGGAUCAUUAACCUUUCAAAUCAGGGUGCGGCGCGGCCCCCGAGGAGCGGAAACAAUCCUUGGGAGGUAUGCGGGGGCUUCGAGCCCCCCCAUUUACGCACGCACGACUGCCAUCCUUACUUUACGAGCACCUUCUGUUCUCCCUCGGCGGGGCAACCUGCCGUUGGAACCGAAUAAACUCUUUUUGCAUCUAGCAUUACCUGUUCCG